GAUGAACGCUGGCGGCGUGCCUAAUACAUGCAAGUCGAGCGAACAGACGAGGAGCUUGCUCCUCUGACGUUAGCGGCGGACGGGUGAGUCACACGAGGAUAACCUACCUAUAAGACUGGGAUAACUUCGGGAAACCGGAUCUAAUACCGGAUAAUAUAUUGAACCGCAUGGUUCAUUAGUGAAAGACGGUUUUGCUGUCCCUAAUAGAUGGAUCCGGGUCGGAUUAGCUAGUUGGUACGGUAACGGCUUACCAAGGCAACGAUGCGUAGCCGACCUGAGAGGGUGAUCAGCCACACUGGAACUGAGACACGGUCCAGACUCCUACGGGAGGCAGCAGUAGGGAAUCUUCCGCAAUGGGCGAAAGCCUGACGGAGCAACGCCGCGUGAGUGAUGAAGGUCUUCGGAUCGUAAAGCUCUUUUAGUAGGGAAGAAGGAAUGUAUAUUUAUCUAUGCACGUCUUGACGGUACCUAAACAAAAAGCCACGGCUAACUUCGUG
Molecule: ribosomal RNA, 497 nt
Filed under: uncultured bacterium
Lineage: Bacteria
Description: partial 16S ribosomal RNA
Rfam family: Bacterial small subunit ribosomal RNA
Source: RNAcentral